Molecule: ribosomal RNA, 235 nt
Filed under: uncultured bacterium
Lineage: Bacteria
Description: partial 16S ribosomal RNA
Rfam family: Bacterial small subunit ribosomal RNA
Source: RNAcentral
CGGCGGACGGGUGAGUAACGCGUAGGAAUCUACCUGGUAGUGGGGGACAACAUGGGGAAACUCAUGCUAAUACCGCAUACGCCCUAUGGGGGAAAGCGGGGGACCUUCGGGCCUCGCGCUAUCAGAUGAGCCUGCGUAGGAUUAGCUUGUUGGUGAGGUAAAGGCUCACCAAGGCGACGAUCCUUAGCUGGUCUGAGAGGAUGAUCAGCCACACUGGGACUGAGACACGGCCCAG